GGGUUGUGAGGUUAAGCGACUAAGCGUACACGGUGGAUGCCCUGGCAGUCAGAGGCGAUGAAGGACGUGCUAAUCUGCGAUAAGCGUCGGUGAGGUGAUAUGAACCGUUAUAACCGGCGAUUUCCGAAUGGGGAAACCCAGUGUGUUUCGACACACUAUCAUUAACUGAAUCCAUAGGUUAAUGAGGCGAACCGGGGGAACUGAAACAUCUAAGUACCCCGAGGAAAAGAAAUCAACCGAGAUUCCCCCAGUAGCGGCGAGCGAACGGGGAGGAGCCCAGAGCCUGAAUCAGUGUGUGUGUUAGUGGAAGCGUCUGGAAAGGCGCGCGAUACAGGGUGACAGCCCCGUACACAAAAAUGCACAUACUGUGAGCUCGAUGAGUAGGGCGGGACACGUGGUAUCCUGUCUGAAUAUGGGGGGACCAUCCUCCAAGGCUAAAUACUCCUGACUGACCGAUAGUGAACCAGUACCGUGAGGGAAAGGCGAAAAGAACCCCGGCGAGGGGAGUGAAAAAGAACCUGAAACCGUGUACGUACAAGCAGUGGGAGCCUCUUAAUGGGGUGACUGCGUACCUUUUGUAUAAUGGGUCAGCGACUUAUAUUCUGUAGCAAGGUUAACCGAAUAGGGGAGCCGAAGGGAAACCGAGUCUUAACUGGGCGUUAAGUUGCAGGGUAUAGACCCGAAACCCGGUGAUCUAGCCAUGGGCAGGUUGAAGGUUGGGUAACACUAACUGGAGGACCGAACCGACUAAUGUUGAAAAAUUAGCGGAUGACUUGUGGCUGGGGGUGAAAGGCCAAUCAAACCGGGAGAUAGCUGGUUCUCCCCGAAAGCUAUUUAGGUAGCGCCUCGUGAAUUCAUCUCCGGGGGUAGAGCACUGUUUCGGCAAGGGGGUCAUCCCGACUUACCAACCCGAUGCAAACUGCGAAUACCGGAGAAUGUUAUCACGGGAGACACACGGCGGGUGCUAACGUCCGUCGUGAAGAGGGAAACAACCCAGACCGCCAGCUAAGGUCCCAAAGUCAUGGUUAAGUGGGAAACGAUGUGGGAAGGCCCAGACAGCCAGGAUGUUGGCUUAGAAGCAGCCAUCAUUUAAAGAAAGCGUAAUAGCUCACUGGUCGAGUCGGCCUGCGCGGAAGAUGUAACGGGGCUAAACCAUGCACCGAAGCUGCGGCAGCGACACUA
This 1182-nucleotide ribosomal RNA is filed under the name Escherichia coli. RNAcentral describes it as "partial 23S ribosomal RNA". It matches the Rfam family "Bacterial large subunit ribosomal RNA", at positions 1 to 1216 of the family's 2925-position model. The record is from RNAcentral. Lineage: Bacteria; Pseudomonadati; Pseudomonadota; Gammaproteobacteria; Enterobacterales; Enterobacteriaceae.